RNAcentral lists this ribosomal RNA (522 nucleotides) under uncultured Klebsiella sp. Its description in RNAcentral is "bacterial SSU rRNA". It matches the Rfam family "Bacterial small subunit ribosomal RNA", at positions 9 to 522 of the family's 1533-position model. The record is from RNAcentral. Lineage: Bacteria; Pseudomonadati; Pseudomonadota; Gammaproteobacteria; Enterobacterales; Enterobacteriaceae.
GAGUUUGAUCAUGGCUCAGAUUGAACGCUGGCGGCAGGCCUAACACAUGCAAGUCGAACGGUAGCACAGAGAGCUUGCUCUCGGGUGACGAGUGGUGGACGGGUGAGUAAUGUCUGGGAAACUGCCUGAUGGAGGGGGAUAACUACUGGAAACGGUAGCUAAUACCGCAUAACGUCGCAAGACCAAAGAGGGGGACCUUCGGGCCUCUUGCCAUCAGAUGUGCCCAGAUGGGAUUAGCUAGUAGGUGGGGUAACGGCUCACCUAGGCGACGAUCCCUAGCUGGUCUGAGAGGAUGACCAGCCACACUGGAACUGAGACACGGUCCAGACUCCUACGGGAGGCAGCAGUGGGGAAUAUUGCACAAUGGGCGAAAGCCUGAUGCAGCCAUGCCGCGUGUAUGAAGAAGGCCUUCGGGUUGUAAAGUACUUUCAGCGGGGAGGAAGGCGAUAAGGUUAAUAACCUUAUCGAUUGACGUUACCCGCAGAAGAAGCACCGGCUAACUCCGUGCCAGCAGCCGCGGUA